Molecule: long non-coding RNA, 1541 nt
Organism: Olea europaea var. sylvestris
Lineage: Eukaryota; Viridiplantae; Streptophyta; Magnoliopsida; Lamiales; Oleaceae
Exons: 2
Source: RefSeq, a predicted model, not a curated record
UUUCAUUUUACAGUAGUCAUAUUUCAAAACCCUAACCUCAAAUUCGUAACUUCAUCUCUUCUAAUGUAUGCGUGCUGCCUCUCUCUCUCUCUCGCUCUCUCUGAGCACAUUCAGAGAAAAUGAAACCUCAAAUCUCAAUCUCUAUCAUCGUCGAUAUCAAGCAUAGCCCAUUUCCAGCCCCCAAUUGCACACCCAUAAUCACUCUCAAGAAAAUGGAAGAAUGGUAAGUAUGAAAUUGUGGAAGAAAUUGAAGAGAUGGAAAGAAGUCCAGAUCUAGUGACAUGGAUUAUGAGGAGGAUGAACUGUUGUCAGAUAGUGAUCCUGAAGGAGAGGAUAAACUGUUGUCAGGAUCUCUAAGAGUUACCAACCGAGAAAAAGAGGGAAAUGAUACUUACAACACGCCAGCGGGCCCUUCUAAGCAAGGAUGCCUCUUCUGCAUCCGGGAAAAGUCAAAUUGAGUUCCCAAAUGGUUUACCCCCACAGCCGUCUCGAAGCGAGUAUCUUUAUUUCAUUUUUCUGAUUUUUUGUUCAUUUCCUAGUUAUUUACUAGUCAUGUCUCGUCUUUGCCAAUUACCUAUGUUCCAGUGCAAAAGGAGAAAUUGUCAGAAAUCGAAUAGCAAUUGAAGAAAAUUGUGGCCCCUUAGAAGUGUAGAAUGCUAAAUGAGAAAGCAGCCCAGUAAUAAGAGUUUGAAGUGUCAGAAUCAAAUUAAUCAGCUAUUGGAUCGAGUUUCUCCGGCAACAUCCACAUUUUCAAUGGUAUGCUGCUUUCAAACUUUAAAGAAGAGUAUCUCUGUUUCUGAACUCUGUUUUUUUACUUAGACUUGCACUAUUUAGGUGCAUUGCAUGAUAUUUAUAUGAUAAUAGUUAUUGUUGCACUAAUGAAGUGAAUGAGCGGUCACAUUGUCGUUCUCUAAGACAUUAGAGAUAAUGUUUGUUGGUUUUUUAAUCUAUUUUGUACUCAAAGAGAUGACAAGAUGAGCACAAAUGUAGAUGUUUUUCCUUCAUUAGAUUGUAUUAAAGAUGUAAAAGGAUAAAGGAAAGGCUUUGUUACCUUCUGAUUGUGGAGUUAAUGAAUAUUAUGCCCAUGAUCUUCACUGAUUAUCUAGAUUUGCCCAGCCAUGAUCUCACCUAGCAUUUGAUAAAAAUAGAUUUAAAAUACCACCAGACUGACUUUGGUUUCCAAUCUAGCUAGUUCAAAGUUGUGCAUUUUAUUUGAAUUUAUGAUUUUUAUUACUUGUACAAAUGUAUUUUAUUUGCAUGUAUGUGUAGUGUAAUGAAUAUAUUUCUUUUGAGUUGAUUUGUGUGGAGCUUUAUGAUGUUGGAAAUUUGUCUUGUUUGUGAUUAUAGAUGGCACUGUAAUGGUACAUUUGAUGUACGCAAUAGAACUGGAGGUUGUUUUGGAACCAUGAGGUUCCAUACUGAGCUGGCUCAUGGAGCCAACAAUGGCAUUGACAUUGCUUUUAGGUUCUCGUAGCCCAUUAGGGAGCAAUUCUCUUUCCUUUAUCUUACUGAUUUCUAUCAAGAAGUUUAUUGAUUCAGAA